Molecule: unclassified non-coding RNA, 365 nt
Filed under: Hevea brasiliensis (rubber tree)
Lineage: Eukaryota; Viridiplantae; Streptophyta; Magnoliopsida; Malpighiales; Euphorbiaceae
Source: RNAcentral
GUAGUCAAAUUGAGAAAACAUUUAAUCAACUGGCACAUUCUGCAGUAAUUAUAUUUAACUUGGCAUACUGUGCAUUUUGCGGCUAAUUAGUGUAGUAUAACUAUUAUUUUAGCUUCAUUAAUGUGGAAAUUGCAUGGGCAAACAAUGGAUAAUUCUUACUCUUGGACAUGCAUUGAUUGGCUACUUCACCUUAGAAACCAUGAUGAAGCCGUUUUUGUUGUCUAAUUAAAAUGAAAUUGUACACCACUUAGAAGUCCUUAAUUUAAAUGUGUUGGAUUUAAUAGUUCUUCCAAAAUCAAUAACUCAGUCACCCAUAAUUGAUUUGCGGCUUCAAACAUUGAUCAUUAGAAUUUUUUUUUUUUUUG